This is a long non-coding RNA of Triticum urartu, 2552 nucleotides long. RefSeq lists it as uncharacterized. Lineage: Eukaryota; Viridiplantae; Streptophyta; Magnoliopsida; Poales; Poaceae. The record is from RefSeq and is a predicted model, not a curated record.
GGCAGCCUCCCUCCUCUCUUGUUUUGGCUUUCCACUCUCGAGCUAGGUUUGCCGCCGCCGCCGUUGCCGCCCCAUCGCUCCUCCGGCGCUGGCCAUCGAAGGAAGGUCAUCUUCUCCUCUUGGUGGCUUCCUCAUAGCAAGAUUGGGCGCUACUCCUCCGCACAGCCCCGUCGGCAAUAGCGAGAAGGCAGGCGGCGCCGCGAGCUCUUGUCCCGAGGAAACCGCAGGAGGACGAGGUUGAUGCGGUCGUCUGCGCCUCCUCCGACGGCGAGGCCAGCCUCCUUUUCACCUCUGCUAGACCCGCAGCUAUCCAUCUUCCAUUGCUCUUUGUUCCUAUUGGAUGGUGGCGCCCUAGGAGUGGAUGAUUGAAUUUAGUCCUACUGUCAUGUGUGAGGGUGAUGUAAAAGGAUGAACUAAUAACUGGAUCUUCAGUAGGAUCGCUCAACAGAUGGUUUCACAGGCUGGUAUAACCGGAUGUGAGAAGAUAGUUGAGAAUCUUCUGUUUGCAGUUAGCACACACACAAAUUCUCCCUGCUACAUCUGAGAAUUCUUAUGCAUGUGACUUAUGAGAUGCGCUUGCAUGUGAAGGACAUAGGCUACCAUUCAAUACCCAACCAAUGCACUUGUCCAUUGUCUUGCUCUUAUUAGGUAGUCGCUUCAAUGAAAGUAUAUCUUGCGCUUGUUCAUUUUCCUAUCCAUUUCAAUAGAUAGUUUGCAUUAUCUAUUUUUUUCUGGGAGUUGAGCAAAGAAUUAGUUAUCUUUCCCUUAUGCUGUCAAUCUGAAGUAUUUCUUGCUAUGUCACUUCAAAUUAAGAACCCUGCAAAGCUAGAUGUUUCACUGUCAGCCCUGAAUCCCAUGACCACACUACCGGGUCAUAAGGCAAUGGUGAACUGCACGCUGUGGCUUCCAACCAAGAAGGCUGCACUCCAGGGAGACGCACUAUCUAUUGUCCGGAAGUUCUGAUGGUGCUAUUAUGGCGUGGAAGAUUGGUUCUGGAAUAGGCAAGCUCCUGGGUACAUGGACUCCCUACAAAAAAAGCUUGGAUCCACUAUGGAUCAUUUGCUGCCUUGGAGUGACCAUGGCCAAGAAGACGUUCGUACCUGUUCCCCGGUGUUGUCCGGCGGGUCAGUGCUUGCGCGCUCUUCAACGCCUUCAUUUUUGUUGUCUCCAAUGAUCUUUCGCUACACGCUCUGCCACUAGCACAUCCCCUGUAGUAAGGUAACUAACUACUACCAUCCGUGCUUGUGCUUGUACCAAUUCUGAAUUAUUUCAGUCCAGUUUGAGGCCAGCCGCAGCCACGACAUUGACGGCAUCCAUCGAUCCUGGAUCCUUCGACAUCUGGAUAGACCGUUGCUCCCUAAUCGACUACGACGAUGGGCUCAUCAAUAUCACCUGCCACAGUAUCGAAAUCACCGCCUCCAUGUCAUUCUGUUGUUUGUCCCUGCUACCAAGUCACUCAAUGCUUGGUUUCUCUCAACAAAUUUCACUCAUUACAUUGGAUAUUGUGCUGUACUGGUGAAAAUAAUUGUGUGUGUAUGUGAUUGAAUUUUUUUAUGAUUGAUGUUAUGAUGGUUAAUCACAUUGUACACUUGGGCGAUCAAACUAAUAUCCAUAUAUCUUGCAUCAAUAUUGUAGUUAUUGAUGACAUAGCUUAUGAGGAAAGACCAUGGUAAAUGAAGAGACAACGUUACACUGGCUUCUAUCUCUGUGAGGUCAGUAGCAAUAUGGUCAUUUGAUGCAACAAACCAGAGGAACAAGUCCAGGUUCAUCAAUCAUAGUUGUGAACCAAACACGAAGAUGCAGAAAUGUAGAUGGAUAGACCAGAGUUAAUUUCUCAAGCAAGUGGAGGUCCAGUGGCAUGAGGGAUCACUACACAAGCUAAGUGAGGUACUCCAGUAGCUGGACGAAAUGGUUUACCUAAAAAAAGUUGCACGAAUUUUCCUAAAAAAAGUAGCCGCACGAAUCAUGAUGUGAAAAAGCAUCUAAUGACCGAUACGGAGAAUGAUGCCAAACUUGAAACUCAGCCAGACCGCUUUAAGAAUCGUGAGAGGCCACCUCGAGGAGAGUGUGGUGGGAUCGGAUGAGGGUGCCUGAGGUGUCGUGCACCUUGCCGAGGUAGACAAAGGCGAAGCGACCAUCGCCGAUCUAAGGCCACAUCAGUGCCACCGUUCUCUACGCCGUACAUGAAGCAUGUUGUGAGGCGUCGUCCGGCUGGGGUCGCCUCUCCCACUUCGCUCCGAUGUCGAUGCCUGACCUUAGAUCACUAGGAGCUCACUCCCUCCUCGAUCCCUCCUCUUCUUUGUCGCGUUGCCAUCGGGUCUCCCCUCCCUGCCAUUGAACUCCGGUCUAGGGCUGGGAUAGGAGCUCCUCGAUGAGCGGGGUAGGACUCUGGGAGUGGCCGCUCUGACGAGAUGGGAAGGACGGGGGAGAGGCGAUGGCUGCGCACGGGUGUAGAGUGGGGAGGAGGAGAGACGUGCGGCUCAGAAUGGGGAUUGGUGGCCAGGUACCCAUGAACCCACCCACCAUGGUAUUGCCAUGUCACUCGUAGCCAA